GACGAACGCUGGCGGCGUGCUUAACACAUGCAAGUCGAACGGUAAGGCCCUUCGGGUACGACGAGUGGCGAACGGGUGAGUAACACGUGGUGAUCUGCCCUGCACUUCGGGAUAAGCCUGGGAAACUGGGUCUAAUACCGGAUAGGACCAUGGACUUCACGGUUUGUGGUGGAAAGCUUUUGCGGUGUGGGAUGGGCCCGCGGCCUAUCAGCUUGUUGGUGGGGUAAUGGCCUACCAAGGCGACGACGGGUAGCCGGCCUGAGAGGGUGUCCGGCCACACUGGGACUGAGAUACGGCCCAGACUCCUACGGGAGGCAGCAGUGGGGAAUAUUGCACAAUGGGCGCAAGCCUGAUGCAGCGACGCCGCGUGAGGGAUGACGGCCUUCGGG
Molecule: ribosomal RNA, 389 nt
Filed under: uncultured bacterium
Lineage: Bacteria
Description: bacterial SSU rRNA
Rfam family: Bacterial small subunit ribosomal RNA
Source: RNAcentral